This is a long non-coding RNA of Oncorhynchus kisutch (coho salmon), 3542 nucleotides long. RefSeq lists it as uncharacterized. NCBI's taxonomy places the organism in Eukaryota, Metazoa, Chordata, Actinopteri, Salmoniformes, Salmonidae. The transcript has 4 exons. The record is from RefSeq and is a predicted model, not a curated record.
AAAACAGUUCCCCUUGGAAACAACGAAACGUUGACUCACUUGAGCAUCAUUCCCAUAUAUAGUUCAAGCGUGUUAGCGUUAAAUUAAUCAGGAAUUGUGUGUAAAUCUGACUUGCCUUUCUCGUCACGCUUGGAGAACAAAGUUCCAUAACUUUAGUCAACGGAAUUGGUAUGGAAUCACGGGUGUAUUUGGGACAAAUUCAGAUAGAUCCCUCUCGACUUUGUUCCGUUUGUGUUUUGCAACAGAAUUGGCGUAAUCUGUUGCAAUUUCUGAUCUCAGGCUAACAUCCUCCUGUCCUCGGCUGGAUUUCCCAAAAGCAUCAUAGUACUAAAAUAAUCUUAAUUCCAUUUAAAUGAAAUGAACGAAAGAUGAUUGUAGUGCAACGAAAACAAGCUCUGGUCUGGGCAUCAUUUCUGCCACCUGUAGGAGGAGGUUGAAGCUGCACGAUCAAGUUAAACUGAAAGUCUUUCUCUCUGUCAGCCAUGAAGUGCUCAUCUCCUCACCUGCCCCCAACAACUGUACAACAGCCAACAUGCCCCGUUUCCUACUGUCGAAGCCAAGAGGAGAAGACCAUCAUGACGACAGAAGAGGUUCACCUACAGGUACACUGCUGUCUGCCUUGGCCUCCCAGGUGUCCCAUCCGGAGAACAUGGAAGAGAACACCCCGAUUAUUUUACGAAAGGACCUACUCCGCUCUGCCACCAAGGCAUUCAGCUGGAAACUAUUCAACCUCAGAGGUUCAAUGUGAGGGGUCAGUCGACCAACAUGGUUAAACACAGGAGUUCAUUCAGCUGUUGAUGGCAGCCAUCCAAGACUGUUGUUUGUUCCAGGGGCCAGACCACUGCAAAAGCCUAGUAUUGCACUAGUAUUGUAAGAUCGCACUGUUUAUAUGUUCAAAUAUGACACUUUCUAUCUAAUCCUAGAACUCUGUCCUGUUGUAUCACUUUCAGUGUACUCCAAGCAGAGUGAACUAUAAGGUCCUAUAUGGUAUAUUACUACAUAGAUUGGUGGCCUCUUAUGUGCUUUCCAUAGUAAAACCCCCCCUUAUUUUAAUAAGGUGGUAUUAACUUGUACCAUGUUUUAGUUUCAGCCUGGGAUAAUGUACAGGCUGGUGGAGAGCAUGACCAGUGUCUGAGUGGUGAGAUAUGGCCCCACUUCCUGUCCAGGAGAACGUUUGACAUGAUCUGUGGUCUUCCGUUUGCUCCUGUGGCCCUGGACGAGAUCACACGAGGAAAUACGAGCCAGGCUGGAGAAGGCACGUGACAUGUUCAUGUGUUCUUUGCCGUAUAUAUUGGUUUGUGUUUGUAGCCUGAGCCCUGGGCUUGUAUUCACAUAGCUUCUCAGACUAGGAGUGCUGAUCUUGGAUCAGGUCCUUCCUGUACAUACAGGUAACUGCAAAAAUAAAGGAAAUGCCAAUAAUUAGUGUCUUAUUAGGGCGUUAGGCCACCACGAGCCAGAACAGCUUCAGUGGACCUUGGCAUAGAUUCUACAAGUGUCUGGAACUCUUUUGGAGGGAUACAACACCAUUCUUCCAUGAGAAAUUCCAUCAUUUGGUGUUUUGUUGAUUGUGGUGGAAAAUGCUGUCUCAGGCUCUGCUCCAGAAUCUUCCAUAAGUGUUCAAUUGGGUUGAGAUCUGGUGACUGAGACGGACACAUCAUAUGGCUUACAUUGUUUUCAUGCUCAUCAAACCAUUCAGUGACCACACGUGCCCUAUGGAUGGGGCAUUGUCAUCCUAUGGGGGCAAAGCCAUUGUAGCAAACAUAAUGGCCUGUCCAGCAUUGUUAUACAUGACCCUAAGCAUAAUGGGAUGUUAAUUGCCUAAUUAACUCUGGAAGAACCUGCUCUCAAUCUACUUUUUAUCCCUCAUUUACUCAAGUGAGAGUAUUUAGAGUAUUUAAACGUUUUGUAUUGUUUGUUGGUUUGGCAAUGCCACUGUCAGCCUGAGAAAUAUGCUGAGAAGGAUUAUUACCACAGCAAGCAAGGUACUUGGAGUCAAACAGACAGGUCUGGAUGAGAUCUUUAAGGUCAAGGCCCUCCACAAGGCUCACAAAAUCAUUUUAGACCCAAGCAACCCCCUGUACCUGGACUUUGAACUACUCCCCUCUGGGCGCAGGUAUAGAGCAACCCUCAGCAGGAAAAACAGAACUAGACAACCAUUUGUGCCAGGUGUGAUAUCCCUCCUAAAUAGCUCGGGCUAAUGUUCCUAUCGACUGACAAAGGCAGGAAGUAAGUGUUUCCUUUAUUUUGGCAGUGACCUGUAUACUCUUAUUCAUUAUGAUCUUUAAUCGGAAACUGAUCCUAGAUCAGCACUCCUACUCUGAGAUGCUUUGUGAAUACAGGCCUGGGGUUGUGAUUUGCAUUGUGAUAUCGUGUCAUUCAACCCACAGCUUAAGGCGGCCACAACCCUGGAGGCUGCUAGUGAGGUCAUGGAGGAGGAGUCUUUAAUUCUGCGUCCGCUGGGGGUCCUCAGCCCUGUCCAGACAUGGGAAGACAUUGUGCGGUUUGCUGCGAGGGGCUAUUUGGAUGUUUGGUUGUCAUGUGGACCAGGAUGUGAGUCUCUGACCGUCAAGAAGCUUCUGGUCUUCGUGUCUGGCCGGGGGACACACUGAGCUUCCCCACACAGCCCACUAUGGAGUUCCCGCACACUCGGGGAGGGGGGGACGACGACACACAUACUCCAGACGUAGAGGAGUCCAGGACCUCAGGCAUACUCCAGGCGUAGAGGAGUCCAGGACCUCAGGCAUACUCCAGACGUAGAGGAGUCCAGGACCUCAGGCAUACUCCAGACGUAGAGGAGUCCAGGACCUCAGGCAUAUUCCAGACGUAGAGGAGUCCAGGACUUCAGGCAUACUCCAGACGUAGAGGAGUCCAGGACCUCAGGCAUACUCCAGACGUAGAGGAGUCCAGGACCUCAGAAAGUACUCCAGACACUCAUGCUGGCUUGAGAAGCCUCAGUGGAGAAACCAGGUAGACUAAGACAGUGAGCAGGUCAAUGCCUCAGACAUCUAAGAACAAGACGGCUGUUUGGUCCUUGCAACAUGUGUCCCUCCAGUUAAAGAUCAGGUGUCAGUCUGACUGUUUAUUAUCUCUGCAUUAUCUCUGGGCAGUCCCAGGUUCACUAUCUACAGUAUGUGAAGUUUAUCCAGGGUGGUCCUCCUGAGAAACAAACUACAGACACAAAACGAGAUGCUGUCACCUUCACCCUGACUGGGGGUUCCGUUCUGGAACACUUUGUUGGUGACACAUCUGACGUGCUAAAGUUCUGUAGAUAAUAGCCCCUGGGCCAGAGGGCCAAAGAGGGAUCCACAUGUUUCAGCUUAUUGAUUACUGUUUUGGUGACUAACUUUUAUUCAUGGCUGUGAUUACUACAUUUGUUAUAGUCCCUGUCUUUUAUUCAUGGCUGUCAGAGGUAGUCAGUGGCUUUUCCAUGUCACUUACGUAAUUCUGAUUAUGUAAAUAGUUAAGCAACGAUGGUGGAAACAUCAUCAUAUCACCCACAUUAAACCACAACACAGACCUCCAAAUAAAUGAACUUGAAGUCA